AAUCUUUAUCUCUUCCUCUUAUAUAUAAUAUAUUAUGUGGGCCUGUGCCCUGCUGCAGUAGUUUCCCACCUCUGCACUUUCAUGGCUACCUUACCCAUUCUUUGAGAAAAACUCAGAUCCUGAACUUACCAGUUGUAUUCAAAGAUGGGUUCUCAGAUUUGGCUAAGAGGGUUGUGUUUUUUGGUGUGCAUCUUUACCUGCAGCUUCUUUUCUGCGAGUUCACAAACCGUAGCUGGAAAUGGUAGUGUAGAAGGAACUGUUUUUAUAGAUGGGACAACUUCCAUUGGAAAGAUUGAUAA
This 299-nucleotide unclassified non-coding RNA is filed under the name Hevea brasiliensis (rubber tree). The record is from RNAcentral. Lineage: Eukaryota; Viridiplantae; Streptophyta; Magnoliopsida; Malpighiales; Euphorbiaceae.